UCCGGUUUGUCACCGGCAGUCUCAUAUGAGUCCCCGGCCGAACCGCUGGCAACAUAUGACGGGGGUUGCGCUCGUUGCGGGACUUAACCCAACAUCUCACGACACGAGCUGACGACAGCCGUGCACCACCUGUGAUCGCGCCCCGAAGGGAAGAUGUGUUUCCACACCGGUCGCGAACAUGUCAAGCCCAGGUAAGGUUCUUCGCGUUGCGUCGAAUUAAACCACAUGCUCCACCGCUUGUGCGGGUCCCCGUCAAUUCCUUUGAGUUUCAGUCUUGCGACCGUACUCCCCAGGCGGAAUGCUUAUAGCGUUAGCGACGGCACCCGGGGACUAUCUAACCCCGGACACCAAGCAUUCAUCGUUUAAGGCUAGGACUAC
RNAcentral lists this unclassified non-coding RNA (378 nucleotides) under uncultured Acidobacteriota bacterium. RNAcentral describes it as "uncultured Acidobacteria bacterium contains 16S-23S intergenic spacer region". The record is from RNAcentral. Lineage: Bacteria; Pseudomonadati; Acidobacteriota.